RNAcentral lists this ribosomal RNA (395 nucleotides) under Paranauphoeta vicina sinica. RNAcentral's name for it is "partial 12S ribosomal RNA". The record is from RNAcentral. Lineage: Eukaryota; Metazoa; Arthropoda; Insecta; Blattodea; Blaberidae.
UAUUAUUUUGGAUUUAAAGGUUUAUACUUGAGUAGUAUUUGUUAAGGGCAUGAAACUUAAAGAAUUUGGCGGUAUUUUAGUCUUUUUAGAGGAAUCUGUUCCGUUAUCGAUAACCCCCGUUAAACCUUACUUAAUUAAUAAAUUCAAGAUUUGUAUACCGCCGUUUUUGAUUAUCCUUUUAGGGGAUACUCUUUUUGUUCUAUUAAAAUUUAUUUCAGGUCAAGGUGCAGUUUAUAAUUAAGUGGAAAUGGAUUACAAUAUAGUUUAUGUAAAUGAAUUAUAAGUUUGAAAACUUAUUUGAAGGUGGAUUUAAUAGUAAUUUUAAUUAGAAUAUUAAUAUGAUUUUAGCUCUAAAAUGUGUACACAUCGCCCGUCACUCUCAUUAAUAAGAUGAG